Long non-coding RNA from Apodemus sylvaticus (European woodmouse), 2513 nucleotides. RefSeq lists it as uncharacterized. The transcript is spliced from 4 exons. NCBI's taxonomy places the organism in Eukaryota, Metazoa, Chordata, Mammalia, Rodentia, Muridae. The record is from RefSeq and is a predicted model, not a curated record.
CACAUAGACAUGGCCGCAGAAAGAAUGCAGCGGGGAGGUGGGGAGGGGGGGCUGUGCCAUGGUCCCAAUGGGCUAAACAAGAAGGACAAGAGCUACGCACGACAGUUCUUCAUCUUCAUCUCCAAAUAGAGGGCAGAUCUUGUAACAGGAGGGACUGUGCGUGUUAAUAAUAGAAAUCAGCUCAGCCUCUUUCUGGCUGGGCAACCUUGAGCAAGUCGCUUAGCCUCUCUGGGCCUCGAUUUCUUCAUCCACAAGAUGGAGAAUAAAAUCAUACUUUCAUUGCAGGGCCAAGGGGUCUCAGCCAACUGACGUUAGUACAGCAGGGUCCGACACGCGUUAGCCUUGUAACUAUCAGCUGUAGUUAUUAUUCAAUAUCUACCUUCUUAUGGUCACAGGCUAUGGAGGAGAGAGUGCUCCACCGGCAGGAGCACUCCUGACAGUGCUCCCAAGCAUGAAGUCGCUGGAUCCUCACAGUACUCACCAGGGGUUGAUGCCUUUCUCCCAUUUUACAGAGAGGUAAAGACACUUGCCCACAGCCACACAGCAAAGAAAAACAGACAAGACCCAGGACCUAAUGAUGGCCGCUUUGCUCUUAGAAGAAGAAGAAAAAGAAAGAAAGAUACAGAGAGAAAACAGCCACAGGAAAGGGUCUGAAAAACAUCAAGUAGGCCAGGCUGGGCACCCCUAUUCCAGGAAUCCUCCCAACUCUGUCAUCAUGGUUUUGAGAUUAUAAGGCCCAGUCUUUUACAUGGGUCUAGCACUUUGCUGACUGAGGAACUUUUCCUGACCCAAGGACACAAAAGACCAAUCAUCCAUCCACCCAUCUAUGUUGCUUUCCCUUUUUUUUCAGAUUUAUUCUAUUUUAUUUUAAAUAUUUAUUUAUUUUAUGUAUGUGAGUACACUGUAGCUGUCUUCAGACACACCAGAAGAAGUCAUCAGAUCCCAUUACAGAUGGCUGUGAGCCACCAUGUGGUUACUGGGAAUUGAACUCAGGACCUCUGGAAGAGCAGCCAGCGCUCUUAACUGCUGAGACAUCUCUCCAACCUUAUUUAUUUUAUUUUUAUGUAUACGUCUGAGUGCCUAAAUCAACAUGUAUCCCUGGUGCUCUCAGAGGCCAGAAGAGGCCAUCAGAGCCCCUGGACUUGCCUUGUGGGAACUGGGAAUCAAAUGAGGCUUAGCCACGGAGCCAUCUCUAUAGCCUGCCUCCCCCUCCCCCUUCUGAGAUAAAGUUAUGUCAUGUAGCUCAGGAUGGCCCAGGACUCUGUAACUCAGCUGGCCUCGAGCCCAGGGUCCUCAUGUUUUAACCUCUCAUGUGUUAAAGACACGAAUCCCCACGGCCGGCUCAGAAACGGCAUCUUGCAAUAUUUAUACAGUGCAUACAUCUGCAGGCCCAAGCCACAGAAAGCAGACCUCUGCUGGUCUCUGGGCCAGAUGAUGCUCAGGUUCUAUCUUUGGAUGAAGAAAGAAGAUGUGGUGAGAGACAUCUUCUGAUGGGCUGUGCUCUACAAUGGUGCCCUGCUGCAGGAAGCUGGGCUGAGGUCUAGAUGACCAACCUCUCCCGGUAGCAGACCAAGAGCUGCGGAAGAUCCAGAAGAAGAGGAUACCUACAAUCUUCAAAUAGAUCGGACUCAAGUCACAGCAAGACUGCACAGCUGCAAUGGGCUACUGGGCUACCCCACCCCAUGAGUUCUUCACCACGGAAGCCCCCGGAGGCCCCACAAAACAACACAGUUUACUACUAUUGCUCCAGGAUGACCAACAGAACUGUGUGGUAAGACCCUGUUGCUGAAGAUACCACAUGCUUGGUUGCAGGACAGAGAGAGACCAGAAAUACAGAGUCAAGUGAAACAAAGACGCUUGGAAGAAAGAACAAGGCGGGAGGUCUCAGGCUACCUGAUAUCAAGACCUUCUGGAGGGCUGGGGAGAAGACUCCUUGGCGGAAAAUCAUGGCGCGCAAGUGUGAAGACCUGGGGUCAGACCCCCCACACACCCAUGUAAAGCCGGCUGAGGCAGCAUGCAUCCCCAAUCCCAGGUCUCCUACGGAGGCAUGGAAGACAGAGGCAGAAGAGACCCUGAAGUCUAUAGACAAGAAAGCAGGGGGAUGGAGAGACUGCUCAGCUGUGGACUGCUCUUGUGGAAGACCAGUGGUCAUGUCCAAGAAUCCACAUCACAACCAAUUGUAAAUCUAGGACCUGGGGACCCAACAUCUCUGGCCUCUGUAGGGACCUGUACUCCCAUGCACACACCCACACAUAGAUACAUACUUAACAAUAAAACAAUCUCCAAAGGUCCUGAGUUCAAAUCCCAGCAACCACAUGGUGGCUCACAACCAUCCAUAAUGAUAUCUGACACCCUCUUCUGGUGUGUCCAAAGACAGCUGUGUGUACUUACAUAUAAUAAUAAAUACAUCUUUAAAAAUGCCAUCUUGGCUGGGCAGUGGUGGCGCACACCUUUAAUCCCAGCACUUGGGAAGCAGAGGCAGGUGAAUUUCUGAGUUCGAGGCCAGCCUGGUC